This is a long non-coding RNA of Colossoma macropomum (tambaqui), 459 nucleotides long. RefSeq lists it as uncharacterized. The transcript is spliced from 5 exons. Lineage: Eukaryota; Metazoa; Chordata; Actinopteri; Characiformes; Serrasalmidae. The record is from RefSeq and is a predicted model, not a curated record.
CAUGCGCAGCUGCAGGAGGCGGACAGGACGGACGUUACGUUUACGUAACCCCUUAAACAUGUGUAAAGCACGAGGAACAAUGGGCGACCACUUGAGACCACCGUAAGAAAAGGUUGGACAGCUGAAGUGAUUCUGAUGAAUGUCUGACUGAACCGGACCACAUGGCUCUUGGCUCUUGAGAACGAUGGCUGUGGUAUCUGGCAUGUGACUUGACGCUACUGAUGCAGCUGGUGCAACAGAAAUGGUGGUCUCUGGCUUGCCUGGCUUAUCCUGGAUCCACAAUGUUAUGCAUCAAGGUGCAGGUGUUGAAAGCUGAAUAUUUCCAGUGUGCCUCAGAGCUGGAGUCCACAUGGAUAGUUGAAAAGCAAGAACAGGAUGCAAAUUAAUACAAAACUUUUAUUCAUGUGUACAAACAUUGACCAUUUUGGCUUAAAUAAAGGAAUGUAAAUAAAGAAAUGG